Molecule: ribosomal RNA, 1358 nt
Filed under: Limnocentropus hysbald
Lineage: Eukaryota; Metazoa; Arthropoda; Insecta; Trichoptera; Limnocentropodidae
Description: 16S ribosomal RNA
Source: RNAcentral
AUUUUUAUUUUAAUAUUAUUUUAUGAAAAAUAUUUAUUGAUUUUAAUUUAAUUAAAUUAAUAAUAGAUUUAUUAGCAUUAUAGUAUUUUUUAAAGAAAAAAUAAUAAUUUUAUAGUAAAUUAGUAUUGUAGAAGAAAAAUGAAAAAUUUGAAUAAUUAUUAAAUAAAAAUUAAAUUUAAUUUAUUGUAUUUUGUGUAUCAAAGAUUAUUAAAAAUAAGUUAUAAAUUUUAAUUAUCUCGAAAUUUAAAGAUUUAAUUAAUUAUUUUAGUUAUUGUAAUAUAAAUAUUAAAAAUAGUUAAUUAGAAAUGAAAUGUUAAUCGUUUUAAAUUAUAUCUAGUUUUUAGAGAAAUAAAUUAAAUUUAAUUUUUAUUUAAUAAUUAUUCAAAUUAAAAUAAUUAUAAUAUAGAUAUAUCUAUUAUUAGGGAUUAGCUUAAUAUUAAAUUAUUAUAUAAAGUAAAUUUAAAAUUUAAUUAAAGAUUUUUAAGAAUAAAAUUAUUUAUAAUUUAUAUUUUUUUAUAAAUAAUUUUUAAUUAAAUAUAAAAUUUUAAAAUAUAGUUAUAUUAAUUGGGAUUUAUUUAAAUAUUGAUAUUAAUUUAAUUUAUUAAUUAAUAAUGAUAAUAUUAGUAUAAGAUAAUUAUAGAAUUAAAAUUAAUUUAAUUUAAAAUUAAUUUAAAUAAUUAGGCAAAAUUAUGUUCGCUUGUUUAUCAAAAACAUGUCUUUAUGAUUUAAUAAUGUAAAGUCUAAUCUGCCCCCUGAAUUAAAUUUUAAAGGGCCGCAGUAUUUUAACUGUGCAAAGGUAGCAUAAUAAUUAGUUUUUUAAUUAAAAACUGGAAUCAAUGAUUGGACGAAAUAUAAUCUGUUUUAAAUUAAUUAAAUAAAAUUUAAUUUUUUAGUUAAAAAGCUAAAAUUUUUAUAAAAGACGAGAAGACCCUAUAGAUCUUUAUAAAAUAUUUGAAUUGAUAAUUUUUUUAUAAUUUAUUUAAAUAUUUUAUUUUAUUGGGGUGAUAUAAAAAUUUAAAUAACUUUUUAUUUAAUUUUAACAUGAAUUAUUGAUUUAAUUUAAUAAUCCUUUAUUUAAGAAUUUAGAUUAAGUUACCUUAGGGAUAACAGCGUAAUUUUAAUUUUAAGUUCAUAUUAAAAUUAGAGAUUGCGACCUCGAUGUUGGAUUAAAAUUUAUUUUAGAAGCAAAAAUUUAAAUAUUAGGUCUGUUCGACCUUUAAAAUUUUACAUGAUCUGAGUUCAAACCGGUGUAAGCCAGGUUGGUUUCUAUCUUUAUAUGAAUAUUAAAUAAUUUAGUACGAAAGGAUUAGUUAUUUUAAAUAAUUUUAUUAAUUUUGAAUAAUAUUAAUUAAUUUAUA